AAGGGUAAAUGCCUCCCAAGCCGAUGAUCAAAAGCCAUGUUUGAUAGAACAGAUGGCCACAUUGGGUAUGAAAAGCCCCAAGUAGAAUUAUCUACCAGCAGUCAAGAAUAUUAGUCAAUGCUCGCAAGAGUGAACUAGCUAACUGAAAUCACAGGAUCCGCUACGUGUGGUGAAUGUUAUAACGUAAGGGAAAAAAAUGAUAUUACCUUACUAUUAGUGUUGUCCAAAACUGGUGCCAGAAGACUCGGUAAGGCCAGAGACGCAAACGUUAGUCGUCCUAAUCAGGCGUAAAGGGUAAGUAGGCUGCUUUAAAAGUUUAGUAUAAUAUUUUAAUUAGCUCUGUAUUAAAAAAGUAAUAUUUGUUUAACACAGUAAAAUAUAAAUGAAUUAAAGCUAGGAUCAAAUUGAGGAUAAUUAUAAAUAAUACUUAGUGUAGGGUUUACAUCUGGUGAUACUAAGGGGAGUACUAACGGUGAAAGCUUUUUAUCUAGAAAUGAUUGACGCUGAGGAACGAAGGUGAGAAUAGGAAAUAGGAUUAGAUACCCAGAUACCUCUCACAGUCAACGAUGAAUGGUGGUUGUUAGUUAGUUUUAUUUAACUGAUAACGAUGUUAACACGAUAACCAUUCCGCCUUGCGAGUACGGUUGCAAAACUGAAACCAAAAAAAUUAGUCGGUCUCGAAGCAAACGAAGUGAAGCAUGUUAUUUAAUACGAUAAUACGCGUAAAAUCUUACCAGUCCUUGUAUAUCCAAUCUUUCUAAUUUAAAUUAGAGAGAUUGAGUAGUUUCUUUUUACUAAAAUUAAGAAAUUCGUUUA
RNAcentral lists this ribosomal RNA (816 nucleotides) under Entoloma sericeoalpinum. RNAcentral describes it as "partial small subunit ribosomal RNA". It matches the Rfam family "Bacterial small subunit ribosomal RNA", at positions 253 to 1035 of the family's 1533-position model. The record is from RNAcentral. Lineage: Eukaryota; Fungi; Basidiomycota; Agaricomycetes; Agaricales; Entolomataceae.